GUGCCAAGAAGAGUUGCUUGCUUAGCUUUAAGAACAACCCGUUGUUCCUCUAGCUUCUGGAUUUCAGAAGUCACUACUCUGAUCCUUUCUUUUGUUAGUAAACCCUCAUCCAUCAACCUUUCAACCUGAGCAGAAGUACUUGAUUCUUUCUCCUGGAAACAUCUUACACGAUUAGCUUGUCUUUCAGCUCUUUUAUGUUAAUCCCGGAGAGCCCUCAGGUUCUCGAAGAAAGAGAGAAAUGAAUCAUGUUGAGUUUUGGAUAGCUGACAGGCUUUGAACAGCUCUAUUGUAACCUCAUUUAUAUCAUGAAGAGCCUUGAGGCUGAACGAAGCUGAGAAGUCAUUCCUAGCCCAUUCUUGGAAGGCUCGUUGUUGCUCUCGAAGACUGGAAGAUACGGCAGAAUGCUUUGAAGAUUUCAGCCUUGUCUCAAGUUGCUCGAAUUCUUCAAAAAGGCUGGGCAACUUAGCAGUUUUUGAAAAUAAAGAAGAAUGAGGAGGAUUUCGCACUCCAGUCUCCUCUAAUGGAGUAGUACCCACUGAUGGGGCAAUUUCUGUCUUCCCGGUCUUCUCAAUUCCAGGAUGGGAAAUCCCGGCACUUCCAAAAGUUAAAUGAGGCUGGGGGAGCUUUGACUUACAAACCAAGCGAGGAGGAGAAACUUCUUUCAGAACUUGCUGCAAAGACCAAAGAAGACCAGAUUAAGACAAAAAUAUAGUUUGAAGCAAAGGGAAGCUUUGGGAAGAAGAAAAAUACCUGACUGAGCCCUAGGGCUUCACAAGGAAGAGUACCAAUUCUUGGUUGAGGGGAAGACUCUCUACCACUGACAGGGGAAGAAAAAGCUGCGCCUGAACCUUCGCCAAUGCCCUAG
This 865-nucleotide long non-coding RNA is filed under the name Malus domestica (apple). RNAcentral describes it as "long non-coding RNA (MDOM_LNC012478)". Lineage: Eukaryota; Viridiplantae; Streptophyta; Magnoliopsida; Rosales; Rosaceae. The record is from RNAcentral.